This 492-nucleotide ribosomal RNA is filed under the name uncultured bacterium. RNAcentral describes it as "partial 16S ribosomal RNA". It matches the Rfam family "Bacterial small subunit ribosomal RNA", at positions 29 to 507 of the family's 1533-position model. The record is from RNAcentral.
AGUGAACGCUGGCGGUAGGCCUAACACAUGCAAGUCGAACGGCAGCACAGUUGGAGCUUGCUCUUACGGGUGGCGAGUGGCGGACGGGUGAGGAAUACAUCGGAAUCUACUUUUUCGUGGGGGAUAACGUAGGGAAACUUACGCUAAUACCGCAUACGACCUACGGGUGAAAGCAGGGGAUCUUCGGACCUUGCGCGAUUGAAUGAGCCGAUGUCGGAUUAGCUAGUUGGCGGGGUAAAGGCCCACCAAGGCGACGAUCCGUAGCUGGUCUGAGAGGAUGAUCAGCCACACUGGAACUGAGACACGGUCCAGACUCCUACGGGAGGCAGCAGUGGGGAAUAUUGGACAAUGGGCGCAAGCCUGAUCCAGCCAUACCGCGUGGGUGAAGAAGGCCUUCGGGUUGUAAAGCCCUUUUGUUGGGAAAGAAAAGCAGCAGGUUAAUACCCCGCUGCUCUGACGGUACCCAAAGAAUAAGCACCGGCUAACUUCGUG